RNAcentral lists this non-coding RNA (168 nucleotides) under uncultured Lachnoclostridium sp. RNAcentral describes it as "Lysine riboswitch". It matches the Rfam family "Lysine riboswitch aptamer". From Rfam's summary of the family: Riboswitches are metabolite binding domains within certain messenger RNAs that serve as precision sensors for their corresponding targets. Allosteric rearrangement of mRNA structure is mediated by ligand binding, and this results in modulation of gene expression. This family includes riboswitches that sense lysine in a number of genes involved in lysine metabolism, including lysC. The record is from RNAcentral. Lineage: Bacteria; Bacillati; Bacillota; Clostridia; Lachnospirales; Lachnospiraceae.
AAAGGUAGAGGUUGCGCGACUUAAGAGUAUUCCGCCGGAUGCCGCAGGGGCGUGUGAGGACGGAAGAAAGGGAGGAGCGCCGAAGGAUGCCGCCGCCUGCAGACGGGGUCCUGGGCAUACGGCGAAGAGCCGUGUGACUGUCAUCCGGACGGAUGGAGAGCUACUGGA